This 498-nucleotide ribosomal RNA is filed under the name uncultured bacterium. Its description in RNAcentral is "partial 16S ribosomal RNA". It matches the Rfam family "Bacterial small subunit ribosomal RNA", at positions 28 to 507 of the family's 1533-position model. The record is from RNAcentral.
GACGAACGCUGGCGGCGUGCCUAAUACAUGCAAGUCGAACGAGAGCGACCGGUGCUUGCACUGGUCAAUCUAGUGGCGAACGGGUGAGUAACACGUGGGUAACCUGCUCAUCAGAGGGGGAUAACAUCCGGAAACGGAUGCUAAAACCGCAUAGGUCUUCGAGCCGCAUGGCUUGAAGAGGAAAAGAGGCGCAAGCUUCUGCUGAUGGAUGGACCCGCGGUGCAUUAGCUAGUUGGUGAGGUAACGGCUCACCAAGGCCGUGAUGCAUAGCCGACCUGAGAGGGUGAUCGGCAACAUUGGGACUGAGACACGGCCCAAACUCCUACGGGAGGCAGCAGUAGGGAAUCUUCCGCAAUGGACGCAAGUCUGACGGAGCAACGCCGCGUGAGUGAAGAAGGUUUUCGGAUCGUAAAACUCUGUUGUUAGAGAAGAACAAGUGCUAGAGUAACUGUUAGCGCCUUGACGGUAUCUAACCAGAAAGCCACGGCUAACUACGUG